Molecule: long non-coding RNA, 2956 nt
Filed under: Mus musculus (house mouse)
Lineage: Eukaryota; Metazoa; Chordata; Mammalia; Rodentia; Muridae
Description: predicted gene 20634
Rfam family: Histone 3' UTR stem-loop (bases 474-519)
Source: RNAcentral
GGCCGUUCGUCUGUUUGCGCUUUCGUGAUGUCCGGUCGUGGCAAGCAAGGAGGCAAGGCCCGCGCCAAGGCCAAGUCGCGGUCUUCCCGGGCCGGGCUACAGUUCCCGGUGGGGCGUGUGCACCGGCUGCUGCGCAAGGGCAACUACGCGGAGCGUGUGGGUGCCGGCGCGCCGGUAUACAUGGCGGCGGUGCUGGAGUACCUAACGGCCGAGAUCCUGGAGCUGGCGGGCAACGCGGCCCGCGACAACAAGAAGACGCGCAUCAUCCCGCGCCACCUGCAGCUGGCCAUCCGCAACGACGAGGAGCUCAACAAGCUGCUGGGCAAAGUGACGAUCGCGCAGGGCGGCGUCCUGCCCAACAUCCAGGCCGUGCUGCUGCCCAAGAAGACGGAGAGCCACCAUAAGGCGAAGGGCAAGUGAGGCCACUGCUCGCGUCGGCCCGCGUCUCUGUGAUAUAACCCCCGCGAGCUCCUAAAAAGGCUCUUUUCAGAGCCACCCACUGAAUCAGAUAAAGAGUUGUGUCACGGUAGCCGGUCUUGGUGGCCUUUCCUGGCCCUGCCCCAAAAGUAAGAGUGUCGUGUCCUCUGCUUCCUUGCCCAUCCUGCCCGUGGUUCCCCCUGGUAGUUUGUUGUCGCUCUUUGGUUCAUGCCCUGCCUCGGCGGAGCGGAUACGCGGUUCUCGCUGACCGUCCCAAGCAUUUAGCCCCUAUCUGCCCACACCCUUGUCCUACACAACACUGUCCCUCACUCAGCGUCCACCCGCCUGACCCUUCCCAGGACUAAGACUCAACUAGGACGUCUAGGCCAAUCUAGACAUAAGUCGCAGUCAGCCGCGCUCUCGUCCGGUCCUUGGGGAAUGUCUAGGAGGAGGAGGUGUCCCGCGAGGACUGGACGCGGCCGGCUCUAGGGAUCAUGGGGGACUGGGGCUGGGACUGUGGCUGUGGCUGGGCGGUGCUGCACAAACACUAGAUUAGUUCUGCCCUGGGACUUUGGGCGGCGGGCGGGGGCGCGCGAGCUCCUCUUGGGCAGAGCCGGGACCCGCCCUCUACGGGCAGCUGCCAGACGUGGCUCCACCCUCGCAGAACGUUGGCAAGUGGACCGGGCGCGGGGCUGGACGUGGGGGGCGGGGGGGGGCGGGUCAGGUGGCGUGGCGGGCCCGAGCCAAUGGGCGAGGUCGGGGCCGGUGACGCCACGGCCAAUGGCGCGGCAGCGCGGGAGUUUCAAGUCGCUGUCUCCGCCCCGCCGCGGGGAAGACUGCGCCUAUAAAGGCGGCCGGCUCGGGCCGGUAUCAGGUCCCCGAGUGCUCCUCGUUUGGGUGUCUUCCGUCUUCGCCAUGGCCCGUACGAAGCAGACUGCCCGCAAGUCCACCGGCGGCAAGGCCCCGCGCAAGCAGCUGGCCACCAAGGCCGCCCGCAAGAGCGCCCCGGCCACGGGCGGCGUGAAGAAGCCGCACCGCUACCGGCCCGGCACCGUGGCGCUGCGGGAGAUCCGGCGCUACCAGAAGUCGACCGAGCUGCUGAUCCGCAAGCUGCCGUUCCAGCGCCUGGUGCGCGAGAUCGCGCAGGACUUCAAGACGGACCUGCGCUUCCAGAGCUCGGCCGUCAUGGCGCUGCAGGAGGCGAGCGAGGCCUACCUGGUGGGGCUGUUCGAGGACACCAACCUGUGCGCCAUCCACGCCAAACGCGUCACCAUCAUGCCCAAGGACAUCCAGUUGGCCCGCCGCAUCCGUGGGGAGCGCGCUUAAGCGCCCUGUCUCCCAUCCAUUCCCCACAAAGGCUCUUUUCAGAGCCACCACAGCUUCCCGGAAAGAGCUAUUCAGCUUUUUGUCUUAAAUUGCCUUUGCAUUCUUCUAGGUUUCUGCAGUGGCUGGUGCUUACUGUCCACCGAGCCUCUUUUAAUAGUUGCCUAUAGUCGCUUAAGAAUGUGCUAAUUUCGGGGGCAAUUGCGAGCGCAGUGACUAAAAUAUCUUAUCCAGGUGCUCAACCUCUGCAUUCCUCUUCUAACAUCAGUCUUAAUUCGUUUUUCUUUUAUCUUUUUCGUUCCCUUCUAAUGUAAUUUGACAUGAUAGAGCUUUUUCUUUUUUUAAAAUGAGCACCUGGCUCAUUGAAGCCAAGUGUCAGGCCUUGCAAGGCUACUUAUAUUGCCCUUUACAAAUUAGUAUACUUUAUUGCUAACAUGCGUUGCUUUUCUAUGUUUUUGGAGUAGAUGUUUACAGCCACCUUCCAAUGUUUUGAUAGUUUACUUGGGAGAUCCUCGUGUUCAUUACAUUACAGGUUUUAAGUUUUAGCAUUGAGUAUCUUAUCUGCCUGCUAUCAGGUGAGUUACUCCAUUCAAAUUUAAUUACUAUGAUGAUGGUAUGUAAGUCGUGUGUGUGUGUUAGAGGUACCACAUAGUAAAAGGCUGACCUACAAACAACGUUCCUUUGGUUCCAUUCUAAUUGUCCUAAUUUCAGAUUAUCCACUUUACUGAUAGAUAACUUUCCUUUCCCCCCUCUCAUCUAUUAGAAGUUCCUUGUCCUUUGCUCAAAACUCACAAAUCACCAAAUACUUUACAAAUGCUUUUGAGUUGUAUAACACUAUUCUUCUGUCCAGACUCUUUCUUGCCUUAGUUAACACCCUCAACAACCCUGGUCUAAGAUUACAUGUUUAGCAAGGUUUCUCACUGUCACUAAGUAACAAUCUAGAAGGAGAAUCUUGAAAAUCCAUUUAAAUUUUAAAAAAUUUAGAUUUAUAUGUAUGAAUGCAUUUUGCACAUAUGUAUAUAUGUAUGUAUCAUAUGGCUACCUGGUACCUGAGGAGGCCAAAAGAGGCUGAUGGAUCCCCUGGAACUGGAGUUAUAGAUGCCAUGUGGGUUCUGGGAAUUGAAACCUGAUCCUCACCAAAGAUGCUAUUUGCUGAGCCAUCUCUUCAGCCAUUUUAAUUAUUUUUUAAUCCCAAUAAAAAUUUAACACACUGCUA